CAUCUGAAAUCAAGCAGGAUCACCCGCUGAACUUAAGCAUAUCACUAAGCGGAGGAAAAGAAAAUAACUAUGAUUGCCUCAGUAACGGCGAGUGAAGCGGCAAGAGCCCAAAAUGUAAAUCUUCACACUGCGUGUGACGAAUUGUAAUCUAAAGAUGGUUCGCUCACCGGGUGGUGGCGCAGAAGUGCCCUAGAACGGGCCGCCAGAGAGGGUGACAGCCCCGUAUGUGGUGCCACUACCUAACGAGCGGGUUAUCGAAGAGUCGGGUUGUUUUGUAUUGCAGCCCUAAGUGGGGAGAUAAACUUCUUCUAAGGCUAAAUAUAUAUGGGAAAACCGAUAGCGAACAAGUACUGUGAANGAAAGAUGAAAAAGAACUUUGAAAAGAGAGUCAAAANGACUUGAAAUCGUUGAGAAGGAAGCGGUANAAANUUAUUCUUCGGCGGGAGGACNGUGGNCNGCUGCCUAACCAUUGCUGNCUUUCNGAACCGCAAGGGCUGUAGUUA
Molecule: ribosomal RNA, 503 nt
Filed under: uncultured fungus
Lineage: Eukaryota; Fungi
Description: eukaryotic LSU rRNA
Rfam family: Eukaryotic large subunit ribosomal RNA
Source: RNAcentral